This 331-nucleotide long non-coding RNA is filed under the name Hordeum vulgare. RNAcentral describes it as "long non-coding RNA (HVUL_LNC015800)". Lineage: Eukaryota; Viridiplantae; Streptophyta; Magnoliopsida; Poales; Poaceae. The record is from RNAcentral.
GAGUGGGGUCAAGGCGAAGUGGAGUCCGACGUCACGGCGGCUCUGGGCACGACUGAGGUUAGUGUCGCGGCAGAUCAAGGUGCAACGGUGACUCAAGGCAAAGGUGAAAUGCGGACGAGGCCGAGGGACGGCUCGUUGCAGAACAGGGUGGAGCCGACGUGUCAGAGGCACAGGUAGCGGCCCGUGGCAUGGCGGAGUGAGAACAAACGGUAUGGUGCACCGAGGGUGCUGGCGGCUCGGAAUCGAAUUCGAACCCGAGACGACUCCGAGAGACGCCGGUGAGGCGGGGCGAGACCGGCUUGGGCCACGACGAGGUAACGGCGGGAGAAGC